This 77-nucleotide transfer RNA is filed under the name Actinoplanes sp. SE50/110. Its description in RNAcentral is "tRNA-Leu". It matches the Rfam family "tRNA". Rfam says of the family: Transfer RNA (tRNA) molecules are approximately 80 nucleotides in length. Their secondary structure includes four short double-helical elements and three loops (D, anti-codon, and T loops). Further hydrogen bonds mediate the characteristic L-shaped molecular structure. tRNAs have two regions of fundamental functional importance: the anti-codon, which is responsible for specific mRNA codon recognition, and the 3' end, to which the tRNAs corresponding amino acid is attached (by aminoacyl-tRNA synthetases). tRNAs cope with the degeneracy of the genetic code in two manners: having more than one tRNA (with a specific anti-codon) for a particular amino acid; and 'wobble' base-pairing, i.e. permitting non-standard base-pairing at the 3rd anti-codon position. The record is from RNAcentral. RNAcentral also lists the same sequence under 1 other name. Lineage: Bacteria; Bacillati; Actinomycetota; Actinomycetes; Micromonosporales; Micromonosporaceae.
GUCCUCGUAGCCCAACCGGCAGAGGCCCGACGUUGAGGACGUCGCCAGUGCGGGUUCAACUCCCGCCGAGGACACCG